Molecule: non-coding RNA, 125 nt
Organism: Triticum urartu
Lineage: Eukaryota; Viridiplantae; Streptophyta; Magnoliopsida; Poales; Poaceae
Source: Rfam
UAUAUAUUCCCUCCGUCUAGAGUUACUUGUCGGAGAAAUGGAUGUAUCUAGACGUAUUUUAGUUAUAAAUGCAUCCAUUUUUAUCCAUUUUCGUGACAAGUAAUUCCGAACAUAGGGAGUGCCAU